GGAGUCUGGACCGUGUCUCAGUUCCAGUGUGGCCGUUCACCCUCUUAGGUCGGCUACGCAUCCUCGCCUUGGUGGGCUGUUAUCUCACCAACUAGCUAAUGCGCCGCAGGUCCAUCUUUCAGCGAGGCUUUAAGGGCCCCUUUUAGGAAUCGGAGAUGCCUCCGUUUCAAUUAUUCGGUAUUAGCCAAGGUUUCCCUCGGGUAUCCCAAACUGUAAGGCAGGUUACCUACGUGUUACUCACCCGUUCGCCACUCGAUAUUGCUAUCUCGUUCGACUUGCAUGUAUUAGGCACGCCGCCAGCGUUCAUC
RNAcentral lists this ribosomal RNA (308 nucleotides) under uncultured Anaeroplasmataceae bacterium. RNAcentral's name for it is "partial 16S ribosomal RNA". The record is from RNAcentral. Lineage: Bacteria; Bacillati; Mycoplasmatota; Mollicutes; Anaeroplasmatales; Anaeroplasmataceae.